GAUGAACGCUGGCGGCGUGCCUAAUACAUGCAAGUCGAGCGAACAGACGAGGAGCUUGCUCCUCUGACGUUAGCGGCGGACGGGUGAGUAACACGUGGAUAACCUACCUAUAAGACUGGGAUAACUUCGGGAAACCGGAGCUAAUACCGGAUAAUAUAUUGAACCGCAUGGUUCAAUAGUGAAAGACGGUUUUGCUGUCACUUAUAGAUGGAUCCGCGCCGCAUUAGCUAGUUGGUAAGGUAACGGCUUACCAAGGCAACGAUGCGUAGCCGACCUGAGAGGGUGAUCGGCCACCCUGGAACUGAGCCACGGUCCAGACUCCUACGGGAGGCCGCAGUAGGGAAUCUUCCGCAAUGGGCGAAAGCUUGACGGAGCAACGCCGCGUGAGUGAUGAAGGUCUUCGGAUCGUAAAACUCUGUUAUUAGGGAAGAACAAAUGUGUAAGUAACUAUGCACGUCUUGACGGUACCUAAUCAGAAAGCCCCGGCUAACUACGUG
Molecule: ribosomal RNA, 497 nt
Filed under: uncultured bacterium
Lineage: Bacteria
Description: partial 16S ribosomal RNA
Rfam family: Bacterial small subunit ribosomal RNA
Source: RNAcentral